This 408-nucleotide ribosomal RNA is filed under the name uncultured bacterium. RNAcentral describes it as "bacterial SSU rRNA". It matches the Rfam family "Bacterial small subunit ribosomal RNA", at positions 355 to 776 of the family's 1533-position model. The record is from RNAcentral.
UCGAGAAUCUUCCGCAAUGGACGAAAGUCUGACGGAGCGACGCCGCGUGAUUGAUGAAGCUCUUCGGAGUGUAAAGAUCUUUUAUGAGGGAAGAAGUUUAUUGACGGUACCUCAUGAAUAAGGGGCUCCUAAUCUCGUGCCAGCAGGAGCGGUAAUACGAGAGCCCCGAGCGUUAUCCGGAAUUAUUGGGCGUAAAGGGUGCGUAGGUGGUAGUGUUAGUCGUUUGUCAAAUCUCCAGGCUUAACCUGGAAACCGCGAACGAAACGGCACAACUAGAGAGUGUGAGGGGUAUAGGGAACUCAUGGUGUAGGGGUGAAAUCCGUUGAUAUCAUGGGGAACACCAAAAGCGAAGGCACUAUACUAGCACAUGUCUGACACUCAAGCACGAAAGCGUGGGUAGCGAAUGGG